Molecule: non-coding RNA, 31 nt
Filed under: Homo sapiens (human)
Lineage: Eukaryota; Metazoa; Chordata; Mammalia; Primates; Hominidae
Source: RNAcentral
UGACCACCACCAUCAGGGCAACUUCUCCGGU